Molecule: ribosomal RNA, 208 nt
Filed under: uncultured type I methanotroph
Lineage: Bacteria; Pseudomonadati; Pseudomonadota; Gammaproteobacteria; Methylococcales; Methylococcaceae
Description: partial 16S ribosomal RNA
Rfam family: Bacterial small subunit ribosomal RNA
Source: RNAcentral
CCUGAUCAGCAUGCCGCGUGGGUGAAGAAGGCCUUCGGGUUGUAAAGCCCUUUCGGUGGGGAAGAAAUCGGUCGGGCGAAUAGUCCGGCCGGAUGACGGUACCCGCAGAAGAAGCACCGGCUAACUACGUGCCAGCAGCCGCGGUAAUUACGUUAGGGUGCCGAGCGUUAAUCGGGAAUUUCUGGGGCGUAAAGGGUUGCGCAAGCCG